Molecule: ribosomal RNA, 1190 nt
Filed under: Escherichia coli
Lineage: Bacteria; Pseudomonadati; Pseudomonadota; Gammaproteobacteria; Enterobacterales; Enterobacteriaceae
Description: partial 23S ribosomal RNA
Rfam family: Bacterial large subunit ribosomal RNA
Source: RNAcentral
GAACCUGAAACCGUGUACGUACAAGCAGUGGGAGCACGCUUAGGCGUGUGACUGCGUACCUUUUGUAUAAUGGGUCAGCGACUUAUAUUCUGUAGCAAGGUUAACCGAAUAGGGGAGCCGAAGGGAAACCGAGUCUUAACUGGGCGUUAAGUUGCAGGGUAUAGACCCGAAACCCGGUGAUCUAGCCAUGGGCAGGUUGAAGGUUGGGUAACACUAACUGGAGGACCGAACCGACUAAUGUUGAAAAAUUAGCGGAUGACUUGUGGCUGGGGGUGAAAGGCCAAUCAAACCGGGAGAUAGCUGGUUCUCCCCGAAAGCUAUUUAGGUAGCGCCUCGUGAAUUCAUCUCCGGGGGUAGAGCACUGUUUCGGCAAGGGGGUCAUCCCGACUUACCAACCCGAUGCAAACUGCGAAUACCGGAGAAUGUUAUCACGGGAGACACACGGCGGGUGCUAACGUCCGUCGUGAAGAGGGAAACAACCCAGACCGCCAGCUAAGGUCCCAAAGUCAUGGUUAAGUGGGAAACGAUGUGGGAAGGCCCAGACAGCCAGGAUGUUGGCUUAGAAGCAGCCAUCAUUUAAAGAAAGCGUAAUAGCUCACUGGUCGAGUCGGCCUGCGCGGAAGAUGUAACGGGGCUAAACCAUGCACCGAAGCUGCGGCAGCGACACUAUGUGUUGUUGGGUAGGGGAGCGUUCUGUAAGCCUGUGAAGGUGUGCUGUGAGGCAUGCUGGAGGUAUCAGAAGUGCGAAUGCUGACAUAAGUAACGAUAAAGCGGGUGAAAAGCCCGCUCGCCGGAAGACCAAGGGUUCCUGUCCAACGUUAAUCGGGGCAGGGUGAGUCGACCCCUAAGGCGAGGCCGAAAGGCGUAGUCGAUGGGAAACAGGUUAAUAUUCCUGUACUUGGUGUUACUGCGAAGGGGGGACGGAGAAGGCUAUGUUGGCCGGGCGACGGUUGUCCCGGUUUAAGCGUGUAGGCUGGUUUUCCAGGCAAAUCCGGAAAAUCAAGGCUGAGGCGUGAUGACGAGGCACUACGGUGCUGAAGCAACAAAUGCCCUGCUUCCAGGAAAAGCCUCUAAGCAUCAGGUAACAUCAAAUCGUACCCCAAACCGACACAGGUGGUCAGGUAGAGAAUACCAAGGCGCUUGAGAGAACUCGGGUGAAGGAACUAGGCAAAAUGGUGCCGUAACUUCGG